Molecule: long non-coding RNA, 1009 nt
Organism: Urocitellus parryii (Arctic ground squirrel)
Lineage: Eukaryota; Metazoa; Chordata; Mammalia; Rodentia; Sciuridae
Source: RefSeq, a predicted model, not a curated record
UGUUCUCAGCCUUCAGAAGAAUGAGCCACCAGCACAGGGUCAAGGCCAGGCAUGUUUGGCCAGGCCUGAGAGGAAGUCCUCAGGAUAGAAGUCAUGGACUAUCUGCAGACCCAAGUGACGAGCAAGAAGAAUAGAGGGCUUCCCAUUGGAUGAACCUACAGAGAAGCCAAAGACAAGGCAGGGCGCUGGGGAUGUUCACUGACAGCUGCAGAUGUGAGCAUUGAGGAGAGAGGACAAGAAGGCUCUGUGGAUUCCCGAGUGAGAGAACACUAACUAUUCUCAUGUAGCGGUUGCUGGCUGUUCUUGCCUCGUUGCCAGAGAGCACAUCAGAAGUCACGCAACUCAAUGGCCAUGUGUUUCAAAUAGACUGUCUCUGUUUGCCGCUCUCUCUUCAGAAUGCACAGUCCCAAGAGUGGAGGCUCUGCUCACAACUGAUGAGAAGGUUAGCCGAGAUAAUACCGAAGGGAUAUUCGUGAAGGGAAGAACUUCACUCCAAGUGGGAAUACAGGAGAGGAGCGUGAAAUAAUGGAAGAGAUACAAAAGAGGGGUCAAAUGUGAAAUGCGAUCAGUGCCUCCCAGGCAAGGGUUAAGUCAGGAAUGGAGAAUAUCUGCUCGGACAAGUCACUGCUGGGUUGGUAUCUAGAGACAUAAAGCUGGAUUCCUUGUCUUGGUUCCUUUGCCGGUGUCCUCUUACAGCCACCAAAAUUUGGAAGGACCACAGUCAUGAUAAGUCCUGACCUACUAUGCCAGGAAAAUAGAAGCAGUCCAGGAGGAGAUUGGGAGACAAACCCAAGAGAGCUGAAGAUAUGGAGCAUCUUGGGGCUCUAGACACUUCAAUCACACCUACAGCCAGGUUUUCUACCAGGCCCUUAUUCUAGUACCUGAUGCUUAGGAAGGUACUCCCGGUGCUGCUGUCUAGCAUGCCCUCUAUUUCAACUAUAAGAAAUGAUCAUCCUUUGGAUCCCAGUUCAUUUGUCCCUUCCUCUGGGAAAUCUUUUGUGAUUUUCCU